RNAcentral lists this ribosomal RNA (469 nucleotides) under uncultured bacterium. Its description in RNAcentral is "partial 16S ribosomal RNA". It matches the Rfam family "Bacterial small subunit ribosomal RNA", at positions 28 to 507 of the family's 1533-position model. The record is from RNAcentral.
GACGAACGCCGGCGGCGUGCUUAACACAUGCAAGUCGAACGAUGAAGCACCAGCUUGCUGGUGUGGAUUAGUGGCGAACGGGUGAGUAACACGUGAGUAACCUGCCCCUCACUCUGGGAUAAGCCUGGGAAACUGGGUCUAAUACUGGAUACGACCGAUCUCCGCAUGGAGUGUUGGUGGAAAGUUUUUGUGGUGGGGGAUGGACUCGCGGCCUAUCAGCUUGUUGGUGGGGUAAUGGCCUACCAAGGCGACGACGGGUAGCCGGCCUGAGAGGGCGACCGGCCACACUGGGACUGAGACACGGCCCAGACUCCUACGGGAGGCAGCAGUGGGGAAUAUUGCACAAUGGGCGAAAGCCUGAUGCAGCGACGCCGCGUGAGGGAUGACGGCCUUCGGGUUGUAAACCUCUUUCACCAGGGACGAAGCUAACGUGACGGUACCUGGAGAAGAAGCACCGGCUAACUACGUG